UUUGAAUUACGCUAGAGUUUUUGAAUUUUUUUUUUCAGUUAGAAUUUGCACAAUGCAAAACAGCUCAGUUUAUAAAAACUGUUGACAAACAGAGAGCAACUUGAAAGUGAAUAUAUCCCAAAAUCCGUGGAAUUAGAAGCCGAUCAGCAGCAUUUUGCUCAUUUUGCCGCAGGGUUGUAAAACUUUAAGUCUUUCUUUAAAAAGUCACGUCUCCUGUCCUCAGCUCCUGGAAGCAGCCUGACAAGCUCUGAUGCUUCAGUGGAAACAGUCAGCCUCAAAAGCAGCCAGAAUUGACUAUUACUAACAAGUUAUUCUUGAUAGCAAGACAAUCAAUUACAUCCUGUGGCACUUUUCUCUCUAUCUCUCUCCCUCCUUCCCUCUGUCUCUCUCUCUUUCUUUCUCUCUCCCUUCUGCUCUUUGACUAUGUUGCAGUUCGAUGCAGACUUUAGCAGGAGAGGAGCCCCGUUAAUUAGAGGGCAUGGCCGGGAGGAGGAGCACAGCCGGAUUACAAUACUUAAGGCUCCCACUCUUUACUACAAAUGAAUGAUUUGUCGAUAUUCUGUUUGUUCUUAUUUACAUAUUUGUAACCACGCUAUUUUAAUAGAAGCACAUUUACAUUACCAGAGGAAUAUAUCCAGUACAAUUUGUUGAUGAUUGCAAUUAAUAUUGUCUAAUUGUAUAUUGUCUAUUAAACUAGAAAUGUUUGCUUAAAAAUGUAUAUUCUCUCUCUCUUUUUAAUAGACGUAUUUUAGAGUCAGGUGGUAUAUCAUGGCUGAUAAUACUUGUGAACAGAACAAAAUAAGUGUGUGUGCGCGCAAGUGUGUAAUAGAGAAAGGAGAGGGAGAGAGAGAGAGAGAGAGAGAGAGAGAGAGAGAGAGAGAUCGUCCCCUUCAGCUGCACCAAAUCUUCUCUGCCAUAAUUCAAGCGCAAAGGGCCAGCUCGCAUCAGCAAUACUAAGGAUCUUGUUAUCCUCCCAGUGGCUGCUGCGUUGCAUUAAUAUGGCUGCAAGUUGUCUUCUUUAUGAGAGAGAGACUACUUGAGGGAGAAGGAGGGAUAGAAGAGGAUAAGAGGCCUGAUGAAUAAUAUCUUUACCUGAGCGGCUAAAAGCAGAAAGGAGGACACGUGGACCUUGAGCAGCGUGAGGGGAGUGUUGGUCUUAUGAUGGAUGGCGAGGAGCCGGGUGUGUCUGGAUCAAUGCGGUGAGCUCUGCAGUGUGGAACAGGUGAGAGAAAGAUGAGAAAUGAGCGCUGGGGCCCGGCCUUGCUGUGCAGUUUGCCAUUUCCAAGCACACUGAUCAUUUUCACACCCACACACGUGUGCAUACAAAACGCACACAAAACACAACCCAUUUGCAUCAUCCUCAAUCUGUCUUCUCCAUCCAAGCCGAAUAAGAAUGGCUAAUGUGGUUAGCCUUUCCUCACCCCUCUUCUUCAUGGUAGCGUGAGGAGCUUCUAGGAGAGUGCUUGGACUGGACUGAUAUGUUCAUCAGUGGUGAGUGAUGCCUCUGGAUGGCUCCGACAGCUGCCCGGCCCUUUGUGACAGAAGAGCAGAGACCGUGUGAGCCAAGCAACUAAUCUUUCACUGACAGACAGCCGGACAGCCUUUGCUCUCAGAUGACAGACUGAAAAAAGUGCUGAAUUAUAGAGUUCUUCUUCGGAGGAACCUUCUACAAAUGUGCCAUGGCACUCUACCUGGUCUUCACAUAAUUACUGUAAUUUACUGUACAAAAGUUUUGCAAAAUAUGAAAAUGUAGCUGCAGGUAUAAAACACUGGUGAUGCUAAAAGCACCACAAAUUUUUCAGCAAGCCAUUACUCCAUUCUUCAGUGUCACAUGAUCCUUUAGAAAUAAUUUUAAUAUGCCGAUUUGCUACUCCAUUAACCUUUCUUAAUAUUAUCAAAUCCAAAAACAGUUUUGCUGAUUAUUAUUUUAAGGAAACCGUGACACCAAGCCGUCUGUCUUUGAGACAACAUGAGACAGAGGGGGAAAAGAGAAAGAGAAAAGCUUGGGGAAGAUGUACGACUCACUGGCCUGCCACAUACAGCAGAUGUUGUUGCCUAUUGAGCUGUUAAUUUAACGGGAGUUUAUUGAAUAGUAAUUAGGAGGAGCUCACUUACCAUGAUAGAAGAAAGAGUCUGCUCUGCAAGCUAAACUUUUAUUCACACUCUCUUCCUCCUCGCUGUUUCACCUCACUUCCAUUGCUGUUCAUCAGGAAACCUGGAGAAAAAAGAUAGAUAGAUAGACAGACAGAGAGCAUGGAUAACCUGCAGGGGGGAAUAUAUAUAUUUUUUAUUUAUUUAUUUACUUUUUUGACUAUUGCCAUUAAAAUAUGGUAAGGGUAUGUCUGUGGACUGAAGGAUAUAAUAACCCUCACUUGCACUAUGCAAUAAUCCAAUAUAUUUCUCAAAGCAUUGUGGUUCAUCAGAUAUAACAAAUUUUAUUAUUCCAAAUGUUAUUAUUUGUGGAGAACUCUUAAUGCUCUAUUUAUCAGGGUGAGAGGGUGCCGAGGAAAAUCAAUGUUUAAUCAGCAGUAAGCUGUUUGCACGGGGCACCGAGUAAAAUCCUGUAACCCAGACACACUCAGUGAUAUAACUCCAUAGUCCAUAAUCAAUCAACAUCUACAACUCCACAGAACACAACACCAAAGUGCAUAUGAUCCCGUCACAGUUUACAACAGCCUGUCCUCUGAAUAAGAAUACAGAGAUCUCUUUCUGUGUGCUAAUCAGAUAGACUUGCUCCAGCGGUUCAGCUUGGGAGGGCAUGUUAUAAAUCAGAGAAGAAGUGUUACUAACAGUGUGGACUUUCUCUUUCCUCUCGGCGUGUGUGGGGUUCAGGCACCUGGUCUCUGUCGUCAGUCUAAUAUGGAUUCUGCCAGCUCCAUGCCCACAAACAUAUGCUGCCAUUGUGAUGGAGAUGAGUAGCAGGGAUGCUUCCCUCUUUCCUUUCACUAAGCAGCCAAUGGGAGACCCCCAUUGGGUGCCGUAGGUCAAGUGGGAGGGUAUUGUGAUCGGUGGGCUCAGGGGAAAGGCCUUGAGGAUGUGUGAAUUAGGUUCAUCAGCGUGAGGUCACGCAUGUUUGAAAGUGUACGUCUGACCCCUUGUGUCUUCCAGCCCUGACAGCUUCAUCAAGCUUCAACCUUAUGAAUAGAAAUCAGAAGAGUCAUGAAUUUUGACAUGCCCACAGGGCCAAGUAUUCUCCUUGGUUAACAAAACUUAAAUCCAGUGAACUGUUUUCACUUUCUGUCGCAGACUCAUUUGAUUUACACUUGAUUCCACUGGCUAUCAACCACUGCAUUAAAGACUCUCAGAAUGGGCUUAAAAUCAAUCAUUUUGUUUAAAACAAGGUAGGAAAGUGUGAAUUUAAUUAUACAUAGUUGCUGAUGAAACUGUAAAUUGGUUGGAUGCAUAUGAACGCAGCAGAUGUUUUAUCCAAAACAACUUUAUCAAAAGUGCAUUCAUGUUAUACAUUUAUAUGCCUGUGUAUGUACACAUCAAAUCAAACCCAGGGUCUUUUCUAGAAAUUGUCCUUGCUUUAUUUCAAAAGGUAACCUACUUUAUAAAUCACCAAUAGAAGUGUGUAAAAUUCCUUCAGUGUGUUCCCC
This 3599-nucleotide long non-coding RNA is filed under the name Carassius auratus (goldfish). RNAcentral describes it as "lncRNA (ENSCARG00000010252.1)". The record is from RNAcentral. Lineage: Eukaryota; Metazoa; Chordata; Actinopteri; Cypriniformes; Cyprinidae.